GGAGCGAUGCCGGAGUGGUCGAACGGUCCUGACUCGAAAUCAGGUGUACGGGUAACCGUACCGGGGGUUCGAAUCCCCCUCUCUCCG
Molecule: transfer RNA, 87 nt
Filed under: Spirochaetes bacterium GWB1_48_6
Lineage: Bacteria; Pseudomonadati; Spirochaetota
Description: tRNA-Ser
Rfam family: tRNA
About the family: Transfer RNA (tRNA) molecules are approximately 80 nucleotides in length. Their secondary structure includes four short double-helical elements and three loops (D, anti-codon, and T loops). Further hydrogen bonds mediate the characteristic L-shaped molecular structure. tRNAs have two regions of fundamental functional importance: the anti-codon, which is responsible for specific mRNA codon recognition, and the 3' end, to which the tRNAs corresponding amino acid is attached (by aminoacyl-tRNA synthetases). tRNAs cope with the degeneracy of the genetic code in two manners: having more than one tRNA (with a specific anti-codon) for a particular amino acid; and 'wobble' base-pairing, i.e. permitting non-standard base-pairing at the 3rd anti-codon position.
Source: RNAcentral